CCUACGGGAGGCAGCAGUGGGGAAUCUUGCGCAAUGGGCGAAAGCCUGACGCAGCAACGCCGCGUGCGGGAAGAAGGCUUUCGGGCUGUAAACCGCUUUCAGCAGGAACGAAAAUGACGGUACCUGCAGAAGAAGGAGCGGCCAACUAUGUGCCAGCAGCCGCGGUGAUACAUAGGCUUCAAGCGUUGUCCGGAUUUAUUGGGCGUAAAGAGUUCGUAGGCGGUCAAGUAAGUCGGGUGUGAAAAUUCUGGGCUCAACCCAGAGACGCCACCCGAUACUGCUUAACUUGAGUUCGAUAGGGGAGUGGGGAAUUCCUAGUGUAGCGGUGAAAUGCGCAGAUAUUAGGAGGAACACCGGUGGCGAAGGCGCCACUCUGGAUCGAUACUGACGCUGAGGAACGAAAGCAUGGGUAGCAAACAGGAUUAGAUACCCUGGUAGUCCAUGCCGUAAACGGUGGGCACUAGGUGUGGGUUUCUAUUAACGAAAUCCGNGCCGUCGCUAACGCAUUAAGUGCCCCGCCUGGGGGAGGUACGGUCGCGAACGAACGUAAAACUAACAAACUAGAAUUAGACGGCGUGAGACGUGCCGAACGACGACGACGAGGGAGGUAGG
RNAcentral lists this ribosomal RNA (612 nucleotides) under uncultured bacterium. Its description in RNAcentral is "bacterial SSU rRNA". The stretch from base 1 to 520 matches the Rfam family "Bacterial small subunit ribosomal RNA", at positions 338 to 873 of the family's 1533-position model. The record is from RNAcentral.